CGUCAGAACGAACGCUGGCGGCGCGUCUAAGCAUGCAAGUCGAACGGCAAGAGGUAGCAAUACCUCCUAGAGUGGCGGACUGGUGAGUAACACGUGGGUGACAUACCCUUCAGAUGGGGAUAGCUAUUAGAAAUAGUAGAUAAUACCGAAUACGAGCACAGGGGUUAGAGAUCUGUGAGGAAAGGAGCUAAGGCUCCGCUGAAGGAAUGGCCUGCGGCCCAUUAGCUAGUUGGUGAGGUAAGAGCCCACCAAGGCGAUGAUGGGUAUCCGGCCUUAGAGGGUGAACGGACACAUUGGGACUGAGAUACGGCCCAGACUCCUACGGGAGGCAGCAGCUAAGAAUAUUCCGCAAUGGACGAAAGUCUGACGGAGCGACGCCGCGUGGAUGAAGAAGGCCGGAAGGUUGUAAAAUCCUUUUGAAACUGAAGAAUAAGCGUUGUAGGGAAUGACAGCGUGGUGACAGUAGGUUUUGAAUAAGCAACGGCUAAUUACGUGCCAGCCGCCGC
This 506-nucleotide ribosomal RNA is filed under the name uncultured bacterium. RNAcentral's name for it is "bacterial SSU rRNA". It matches the Rfam family "Bacterial small subunit ribosomal RNA", at positions 22 to 518 of the family's 1533-position model. The record is from RNAcentral.